This 1177-nucleotide long non-coding RNA is filed under the name Phasianus colchicus (ring-necked pheasant). RNAcentral's name for it is "lncRNA (ENSPCLG00000019805.1)". Lineage: Eukaryota; Metazoa; Chordata; Aves; Galliformes; Phasianidae. The record is from RNAcentral.
CUCAGCGGCCCCGAAAGCCGCCAGCAGCGCCGCCGUGACGCGGGGGGGCGGCGGUGCGGGGGGGGGCGCCGCCGGGGGGCGCUGUGGGGCGGAAGGGGGGGUGGUUGGGGGGCGGCCCCAUAGACGGACUGGGGGCGUUCAUAGGGGUCCCACAGCCCCACACCCUCAUAUGGGGGUCCCAGCCCCACACUUGGGGGUCCCACUGCCCCACAUGAGAGUCCCACAGCCCCACACCCACAUAUGGGGUCCCACCCCACACUUGGGGGUCCCACCCCAUAGUUGGGGGUCCCAGCCCCACACUUGGGGGUCCCACAGCCCCACAUUGGGGUCCCACAGCCCCACACCCAAACUUGGGGGCCCACCCCACAUAUGUGGGUCCCACCCCAUAGUUGGGGGCCCCACAGCCCCACACCCUCAUAUGGGGGCCCCACCCCACACUUGGGGGUCCCACAGCCCCACAUGGGAGCCCCACCCCACACUUGGGGGUCCCACAGCCCCACACCCACAUAUGGGGUCCCACCCCAUAGUUGGGGGUCCCACAGCCCCACACCCACACUUGGGGGUCCCACCCCAUAGUUGGGGGUCCCAGCCCCACACUUGGGGGUCUCACAGCCCCCCAUCCACACAUGGGGGUCCCACCCCACACUUGGGGGUCCCACAGCCCCUCACCCACACUUGGGGGUCCCACCCCACACUUGGGGGUCCCAGCCCACACUUGUGGGCUCCCCAGCCCCACACCCAUGGGUCCCAGCCCCACACUUGGGGGUCCCACAGCCCCACACCCACACAUGGGGGUCCCACCCCCAACUUGUGGGUCCCCCAGCCCCACACCCCAGGGUCCCCCAGCCCCACACCCGGGGGUCCCACAGCCCCCCACCCACAUAUAGGGGUCCCACAGCCCCCCACCCACACUUGUGGGUCCCACCCCCCACUUGUGGGUCCCAGCCCCCCACCUGCGCCCUCAGCCGCUCCAGUUGCUGAGUCAGCGCCUCCAGCUCGCGCUGCAGCUCCGGCAGUGGGGGGGGGGCCCUGCGGGGGGCGGGGGGCAUCAGCGGCCCUAUGGGGCAGCCCCAUAACUAACAGACCUAUGGGGCACUUAUGGGGCAGCCCCACAACUAACAGACCUAUGGGGCACUUAUGGGGCAGCCCCACAGCGGGGGGACUUAUGGGGCAGCCC